This 26-nucleotide non-coding RNA is filed under the name Mus musculus (house mouse). The record is from RNAcentral. Lineage: Eukaryota; Metazoa; Chordata; Mammalia; Rodentia; Muridae.
UGACAAAGCUGUUCCCAUAUGUGAGC